UGGAUGUUGAAUUUUGUCAGUGGCUUUUCUGCAUCUAUUCAGCUUGAAGGAGUCCCUUUAACAUUUCUUGUAAAGCUGGUUGAGUGAUGAUAAACUUCAGUUUUUAUAUCUGGAGAACUCAAUCUCUCCAUCAGUUCUGAAGGACAACUUUGCUGGAUGUUGAAAUAUGGAAACAUCUUUAUCUCGAUUUCCAAUCUACCUCCUUUCCCAGGGGCCACCCUAGAAGCUGGUGUGAGCAUCCCGACAAGCUCAUGAAAUGGACGGAGUGGCCUCCAAACGCAGUCAACGUGCUUCACUACACUAGUGACGCCUUCCUAACAGAAUCCCCAAAUUAGUUUUCAUGCUUACAUAGUCAGCAGCAGGCCAGUACCUGGAAAUACUAAACUGAGGGCCCGCACGGGUUCAGGUGCUUACUACUGCUCCCAAAAUGAUAAACACGAGGUGCAUCGGUUAUUGCACAGGACUCACGGAUCCCAGAGGAGAAUGAAAAAUGGGAAGAAUGAAGCAAAGACCAAAAUUUCCGCUUCCUUAAGACUCCCCGGGUCACAGGCUGCCCUAUGACAGUGGCGGUCUCUGGGAUACGCUAACGUCCACCCCAAUUAUCUGGACUCCUCUGACGGUGGUGGCCUGGCGGGGCCAGAACGGGCACCCCCUGGACAGGUCUACUAAGGAAGGCCCCUCUGCACGCGGAAGCCUGCUCCUGGGAGAAGGGCCUCACGCUCAAUCCAUCCCUUUCCGAUCAUUCCAACGGCUUCUCUGAGCAGAUCCAGGUACGCGAGUUACCCAGGCUGCCGAUGCUUCUUGGCAACAGAAGUCAGGUGUUCUUACACCAGGCCCAUUUCUGGUGUUUCUCCUCAAUGGGCGCCAAGGACAGAUCCCCCAGCUUCCCGUGGACACUUCUGAUCAAAGUCCUUUUGGAUGCUAAGGCCUAACAUGGUGGUGGCGAUAAAGGAAAAUGCACAGCUCAUCGUCAGUCUCUUCCGACAACCUUACGCUCUUGUUCCCAGAUAUAUAACCCAGGAAAUUAUUUUUUCAAUGAUAAUCACUCUAAAUUUUGGUUAAUCAAAGAGAUGUUUCUCUCAGACCUUAACAUUUCCUCCUUUUCAAGUGCACAAUUCAGGGUUGUUAGUGCAAUCACAAGGUUUUGCAAUCAGCACUACUAAUUCCAGAAAAAUUUUAUCACCCUAAAAGUGAAAAACUAAGUUAAUAGGAAUAAACUAAGUUAGCAGAAAACUACAGCACCCAUUAAAACUCAUUCUCUAGUCUUCCUCCCCCAACCCCACCCCUGCCCAGCUACUGGCAACCACUAAUUUACUUUCCAUCUUGUUGGACUUGCCAGUUCUGGAAAUUUCACAUAAAUGGAACCUCUCACACAUUAUGUGGCCUUUUGUGUCAAGCUUCUUCCACUUAGCAUAUUUUCAAGGGUCACCCAUGGUGUAGGAUCUACUGGUACUUCCUCUCUUUCCAUGCCUAAGUAAUAUUUCACUGUAUAGACAGAACACAGCUUGUUCAUUCACAAACUGAUCAACAUUUGAGUUGUUUCCACUUCUUGGCUGUGCAAACAAUGCUGUGAAUGCUCCCGUAUAAAUUUCUGUGUGGAUAAAUGUUUUCAUUUCUCCUACAAGUACAUGCAAAGGCUGUGUCAUAAACUCUGUUUAACACCUCAGGAACUGCCGAGAUGUUUUCUGAAGUAGCUGCAGCA
Long non-coding RNA from Canis lupus familiaris (dog), 1702 nucleotides. RefSeq lists it as uncharacterized. The record is from RefSeq and is a predicted model, not a curated record. The transcript has 3 exons. NCBI's taxonomy places the organism in Eukaryota, Metazoa, Chordata, Mammalia, Carnivora, Canidae.